GCCCUCGUAGCUCAGUUGGCAGAGCGCAUCCUUGGUAAGGAUGAGGUCAUCAGUUCGACCCUGAUCGAGGGCU
This 73-nucleotide transfer RNA is filed under the name Acidobacteriota bacterium. Its description in RNAcentral is "Acidobacteria bacterium (groundwater metagenome) tRNA-Thr". It matches the Rfam family "tRNA". From Rfam's summary of the family: Transfer RNA (tRNA) molecules are approximately 80 nucleotides in length. Their secondary structure includes four short double-helical elements and three loops (D, anti-codon, and T loops). Further hydrogen bonds mediate the characteristic L-shaped molecular structure. tRNAs have two regions of fundamental functional importance: the anti-codon, which is responsible for specific mRNA codon recognition, and the 3' end, to which the tRNAs corresponding amino acid is attached (by aminoacyl-tRNA synthetases). tRNAs cope with the degeneracy of the genetic code in two manners: having more than one tRNA (with a specific anti-codon) for a particular amino acid; and 'wobble' base-pairing, i.e. permitting non-standard base-pairing at the 3rd anti-codon position. Lineage: Bacteria; Pseudomonadati; Acidobacteriota. The record is from RNAcentral. RNAcentral also lists the same sequence under 4 other names.